Molecule: ribosomal RNA, 396 nt
Filed under: uncultured bacterium
Lineage: Bacteria
Description: bacterial SSU rRNA
Rfam family: Bacterial small subunit ribosomal RNA
Source: RNAcentral
AUUGAACGCUGGCGGCAUGCCUUACACAUGCAAGUCGAACGGCAGCGCGGGAGCAAUCCUGGCGGCGAGUGGCGAACGGGUGAGUAAUACAUCGGAACGUGCCCAGUCGUGGGGGAUAACGUAGCGAAAGUUACGCUAAUACCGCAUACGAUCUAAGGAUGAAAGCGGGGGACCGUAAGGCCUCGCGCGAUUGGAGCGGCCGAUGUCAGAUUAGGUAGUUGGUGAGGUAAAGGCUCACCAAGCCGACGAUCUGUAGCUGGUCUGAGAGGACGACCAGCCACACUGGGACUGAGACACGGCCCAGACUCCUACGGGAGGCAGCAGUGGGGAAUUUUGGACAAUGGACGCAAGUCUGAUCCAGCCAUUCCGCGUGCAGGACGAAGGCCUCGGUUGUAA